RNAcentral lists this ribosomal RNA (446 nucleotides) under uncultured bacterium. Its description in RNAcentral is "partial 16S ribosomal RNA". It matches the Rfam family "Bacterial small subunit ribosomal RNA", at positions 338 to 795 of the family's 1533-position model. The record is from RNAcentral.
CCUACGGGGGGCUGCAGUCGAGAAUCAUUCGCAAUGGGCGAAAGCCUGACGGUGCGACGCCGCGUGGAGGAUGAAGGCCCUAGGGUCGUAAACUCCUGUCAUCAGGGAGUAAAGACUCGUGUAGUCACUGACACGGGUCCUGAUAGUACCUGAAGAGGAAGGGACGGCAAACUUCGUGCCAGCAGCCGCGGUCAUACGAAGGUCCCAAGCGUAGUGAGGAUUUAGUGGGCGGGGUAAGUCUGUAGGCGGCUCCCGGGGCUCAACCCCGGAACUGCAUCCGAUACUGCCUUGCUAGAGUAUUGGAGGGGAGUCUGGAAUUCUCGGUGUAGAAGUGAAAUGCGUAGAUAUCGAGAGGAACACUAGUGGCGAAGGCGAGACUCUGGACAAUUACUGACGCUGAGAGACGAAGGUCAGGGGAGCGAAAAGGAUUAGAUACCCGUGUAGUC